This is a non-coding RNA of Benincasa hispida (wax gourd), 739 nucleotides long. Lineage: Eukaryota; Viridiplantae; Streptophyta; Magnoliopsida; Cucurbitales; Cucurbitaceae. The record is from RefSeq and is a predicted model, not a curated record.
CCACUAGUUUUACUUUCCACUAAAAAUGUAAAAAGUUGUCAUUGUCAAAAGGUCAAAACUUAUGCCACCUAAAGUAAAACUGUACAAAGUUGCAUCCCUACCUUCCAAAAGACAAAAGGAAGCUGUAUUUAUUUUUUUCCCUUAGAAGUUACACCUGUUUAUGACUCAUGGGUACUAUUUAUUUGUAGUUUAGAUUUGAUUCAAGGUGCUCGAGUUUGUAGGUCGCACUAUGGUAGUUUGUGGGUUAUUCAUGCAUUAUGGUAGUCUUUGUGACAACUUUUGAGAUUUGAAGUAUAUUGUGAGCUAAAUUUGCUUAUUGAUGUAUGUGUUCUUGAAUAUUCAUUUUUUGUGAAUUUUGAUAGUUCUAUUGAGAACAAGUGGUUGUGAAAUAUUUUUGGGAGUGUGUUUCUCUGAACAGGUUCAAGGUAAAUUUUUGGUUUUGUUGUGGUAGCAUCGUUAUGCUGCUGAAAAUUUUCCAUCGUCUUCGUAUCUCAUAUCUAGAUGCAACAAAGGAGUAAAUAUUUGGUAUCGCAACCACUUUAUGCUUUUUCUUGAGGAACUUUAGAUCCAAUAUAUUCACUACAAGAAUUUUGCCUUGAAUGUACUUUUAUGCACAUUCCCAAUAAACACGUGGUCAGACAAAGAUGCCUAUAACUAGACACUACUGAAGCUAGGGGUUGGUUCAAGAAGAAUUAUGAAGGGAUCUAUACUUACCAAGUGGAGAGAGACAGUAAUCUCA